Molecule: ribosomal RNA, 254 nt
Filed under: uncultured bacterium
Lineage: Bacteria
Description: partial 16S ribosomal RNA
Rfam family: Bacterial small subunit ribosomal RNA
Source: RNAcentral
UACAGAGGUCCCGAGCGUUGUUCGGAAUCACUGGGCGUAAAGGGUGCGUAGGCGGGUCUUUAAGUCAGGGGUGAAAUCCUGGAGCUCAACUCCAGAACUGCCUUUGAUACUGAGGAUCUUGAGUUCGGGAGAGGUGAGUGGAACUGCGAGUGUAGAGGUGAAAUUCGUAGAUAUUCGCAAGAACACCAGUGGCGAAGGCGGCUCACUGGCCCGAUACUGACGCUGAGGCACGAAAGCGUGGGGAGCAAACAGGG